GACGAACGCUGGCGGCGUGCUUAACACAUGCAAGUCGAACGGAAAGGCCCUGCUUUUGUGGGGUGCUCGAGUGGCGAACGGGUGAGUAACACGUGAGUAACCUGCCCUCGACUUUGGGAUAACUUCAGGAAACUGGGGCUAAUACCGGAUAGGAGCUCCUGCUGCAUGGUGGGGGUUGGAAAGUUUCGGCGGUUGGGGAUGGACUCGCGGCUUAUCAGCUUGUUGGUGGGGUAGUGGCUUACCAAGGCUUUGACGGCUUGCCGGCCUGAGUGGGGGACCGGACACAUUGGGACUGAGAUACGGCCCAGACUCCUACGGGAGGCAGCGGUGGGGAAUAUUGCACUAUGGUCGGAAGCCUGAUGCAGCAGCGCCGCGUGCGGGAUGACGGCCUUCGGGUUGUAAACCGCUUUCGCCUGUGACGAAGCGUGAGUGACGGUAAUUGGUAAAGAAGCACCGGCUAACUACGUG
RNAcentral lists this ribosomal RNA (468 nucleotides) under uncultured bacterium. RNAcentral's name for it is "partial 16S ribosomal RNA". It matches the Rfam family "Bacterial small subunit ribosomal RNA", at positions 28 to 507 of the family's 1533-position model. The record is from RNAcentral.